Long non-coding RNA from Heterocephalus glaber (naked mole-rat), 966 nucleotides. RefSeq lists it as uncharacterized. The record is from RefSeq and is a predicted model, not a curated record. NCBI's taxonomy places the organism in Eukaryota, Metazoa, Chordata, Mammalia, Rodentia, Bathyergidae.
AAAAAAAGGAACGGUGGGUUACAUCUUUGGCCGGGGAUUUAGCUCAGUGGUUUUGCCGCCUGCUGUGCAAGCACAAGGACCUGAGUUCAAUCCCUGGUACCGAACAAAACAAAAUAAAAAAAAAACAAAAAAGGAAGGGUGCCAUAGUUUGAAUCUGGAAUGGUCCUGAAGGUCCAUGUGUUAAGGGUUGGUCCACAGCCCAUGGUGCUAUUGGGAUGUGAAAGAAUCUUCAGGAGGCAGAGCAUGGUGGGAGGAAGUGAGGUCACUGGGGGUGUGGCCUAGACCUCUGCUCUUCCUGUCUCUUGUUUACUGGCCACCAUGAUGUGGCCAGGCCUCCUCUGCCCUGGACUCCUGCCAUGAUGGACUAUGCCAUCACAGGCCCAAGGCAACAAGGCCAAGUGACCAUGCACAAGAACCUCUGAAUCUGGAAGCCAAAAUAAAUCUCUUCCCUUAUGAAGCUGAUUAUCUCAGGUCGGCAGUCAUUUGGACAUUCAGAAGGCAUCACAAAUACCAUCCUGUUGCUGAUGAUGGGCACUUUUCUUCCUCUUAUUAACAAGGAUGGCUCUUGGGGGAGUCUCCGGAAUGGGAAGCAGGCAAGAAAAUGUGGAGCAGCAAGGGACAGAUGGUGCAUCCAUUCAUCUCCUUUCCGUUUUCAGAGAGAAAACUACACUCUGCCUGUGAGACUGUCUUUACGCCAAAGCAGGCAAUGCUGCAAAAUAGAGACCCCAGCAAUUCUAAUUCUAAACUCUGUGCAUCCAAUAAAACUACCUUUGAGAUGCCCAUUGGACUCAGCAGGCUGAGCCAGGCCACCUUGAAGGCUACUUCUUUCUGUAAGCAGAGUAUUAGUACCAGUUACAGUUCACUGUCACUGAGCAUUUGGCCUAAAGUGCUCAGAGGCGAAGACCUUAAAACAAGAAAAUUAUAUAGUGCCUAAUUAAAGUUCCAGUGUGAAUGCUUAAUGUUGGG